UGGGGAAUAUUGCACAAUGGGCGCAAGCCUGAUGCAGCCAUGCCGCGUGUAUGAAGAAGGCCUUCGGGUUGUAAAGUACUUUCAGCGGGGAGGAAGGGAGUAAAGCUAAUACCUUUGCUCAUUGACGUUACCCGCAGAAGAAGCACCGGCUAACUCCGUGCCAGCAGCCGCGGUAAUACGGAGGGUGCAAGCGUUAAUCGGAAUUACUGGGCGUAAAGCGCAUGCAGGCGGUUUGUUAAGUAAGUUGUGAAAUCCCCGGGCUAAACCUGGGAACUGCGUCUGAUACUGGCAAGCUUGAGACUCGUAGAGGGGGGUAGAAUUCCAGGUGUAGCGGUGAAAUGCGUAGAGAUCUGGAGGAAUACCGGUGGCGAAGGCGGCCCCCUGGACGAAGACUGACGCUCAGGUGCGAAAGCGUGGUGAGCAAACAGG
This 429-nucleotide ribosomal RNA is filed under the name Chloroflexota bacterium. Its description in RNAcentral is "Chloroflexi bacterium partial 16S ribosomal RNA". It matches the Rfam family "Bacterial small subunit ribosomal RNA", at positions 355 to 776 of the family's 1533-position model. Lineage: Bacteria; Bacillati; Chloroflexota. The record is from RNAcentral.